This 254-nucleotide ribosomal RNA is filed under the name uncultured bacterium. RNAcentral describes it as "partial 16S ribosomal RNA". It matches the Rfam family "Bacterial small subunit ribosomal RNA", at positions 524 to 776 of the family's 1533-position model. The record is from RNAcentral.
UACAGAGGGUGCGAGCGUUGUUCGGAAUUACUGGGCGUAAAGCGCGCGCAGGCGGCCUUUUAAGUCUCGUGGUGAAAUGCCGGGGCUCAACCCCGUGCCCGCCGGAGAUACUGGGAGGCUGGAGACAUGUAGAGGCAAGCGGAAUUCCGGGUGUAGCGGUGGAAUGCGUAGAGAUCCGGAGGAACACCGGUGGCGAAGGCGGAUCUCUGGGCCUGUUCUGACGCUGAGGCGCGAAAGCUAGGGGAGCGAACAGG